RNAcentral lists this ribosomal RNA (254 nucleotides) under uncultured prokaryote. Its description in RNAcentral is "partial 16S ribosomal RNA". It matches the Rfam family "Bacterial small subunit ribosomal RNA", at positions 521 to 774 of the family's 1533-position model. The record is from RNAcentral.
UAAGACGUAGGGCGCGAGCGUUGUCCGGAUUUAUUGGGCGUAAAGAGCUCGUGGGCGGCUUGUCGCGUCGUCCGUGAAAACCUGCAGCUCAACUGCAGGCUUGCGGUCGAUACGGGCAGGCUAGAGUUCGGUAGGGGAGACUGGAAUUCCUGGAGUAGCGGUGAAAUGCGCAGAUAUCAGGAGGAACACCGGUGGCGAAGGCGGGUCUCUGGGCCGAUACUGACGCUGAGGAGCGAAAGCGUGGGGAGCGAACA